AGUGAACGCUGGCGGUAGGCCUAACACAUGCAAGUCGAACGGCAGCACAGUAAGAGCUUGCUCUUACGGGUGGCGAGUGGCGGACGGGUGAGGAAUACAUCGGAAUCUACUUUUUCGUGGGGGAUAACGUAGGGAAACUUACGCUAAUACCGCAUACGACCUACGGGUGAAAGCAGGGGAUCUUCGGACCUUGCGCGAUUGAAUGAGCCGAUGUCGGAUUCGCUAGUUGGCGGGGUAAAGGCCCACCAAGGCGACGAUCCGUAGCUGGUCUGAGAGGGUGGUCAGCCACACUGGAACUGAGACACGGUCCCGACUCCUAAGGGAGGCAGCGGUGGGGAAUAUUGGACAAUGGGCGCAAGCCUGAUCCAGCCAUACCGCGUGGGUGAAGAAGGCCUUCGGGUUGUAAAGCCCUUUUGUUGGGAAAGAAAAGCAGCAGGUUAAUACCCCGCUGUUCUGACGGUACCCAAAGAAUAAGCACCGGCUAACUUCGUG
This 492-nucleotide ribosomal RNA is filed under the name uncultured bacterium. RNAcentral's name for it is "partial 16S ribosomal RNA". It matches the Rfam family "Bacterial small subunit ribosomal RNA", at positions 29 to 507 of the family's 1533-position model. The record is from RNAcentral.